GUGCCAGCCGCCGCGGUAAUACGUAUGGUGCGAACGUUGUUCGGAAUCACUGGGCAUAAAGAGCACGUAGGCGGUUAAGCAAGUCCAUUGUGAAAUCCCCCGGCUUAACCGGGGAACCGCAGUGGAUACUACUUGACUUGAGUACAGGAGGGGAGAGUGGAAUUCCAGGUGGAGCGGUGAAAUGCGUAGAUAUCUGGAGGAACGCCGGUGGCGAAAGCGACUCUCUGGUCUGUAACUGACGCUGAGGUGCGAAAGCUAGGGGAGCAAACGGGAUUAGAUACCCGGGUAGUCC
Molecule: ribosomal RNA, 292 nt
Filed under: uncultured bacterium
Lineage: Bacteria
Description: partial 16S ribosomal RNA
Rfam family: Bacterial small subunit ribosomal RNA
Source: RNAcentral